GCUCCGAUAGCUCAGUUGGUUAGAGCGUGGGUCUUAUGAGCCCAAGGUCGCGGGUUCGACCCCCGCUUGGAGCA
Molecule: transfer RNA, 74 nt
Organism: Ichthyophthirius multifiliis
Lineage: Eukaryota; Ciliophora; Oligohymenophorea; Hymenostomatida
Rfam family: tRNA
About the family: Transfer RNA (tRNA) molecules are approximately 80 nucleotides in length. Their secondary structure includes four short double-helical elements and three loops (D, anti-codon, and T loops).
Source: Rfam